AACGUAGGAGACAAACGUUAUCCGGAGUUACUGGGCGUAAAGGGCGUGUAGGCGGUUAGUUAAGUCUGGCGUGAAAGCUCUCGACUAAACCGGGAGAGGUCGUUGGAUACUGGCUGACUAGAGGACGGUAGAGGCGUGUGGAAUUCCGGGUGUAGUGGUGAAAUGCGUAGAGAUCCGGAGGAACACCAGUGGCGAAGGCGACACGCUGGGCCGUACCUGACGCUAAAGCGCGACAGCAUGGGGAGCAAACGGG
Molecule: ribosomal RNA, 253 nt
Filed under: uncultured bacterium
Lineage: Bacteria
Description: partial 16S ribosomal RNA
Rfam family: Bacterial small subunit ribosomal RNA
Source: RNAcentral